UAGGGAGAUGGAUUAUGAGAAAUCAUAAUUAGGGGAGUUUUUUUUUUUUGCUGGUUCAACUCAACCUGAGCCUUAGCAUUUCAGCAUCAGGAAGCAUUAUGAACCAAAAGCCAAAUAUAUUUUUUCUCUGCAAUGAAGGACCCACCCCCUUUAAAGAAAGGUUCUGUGAAAAGAAACUCUGUUAAAUAGCUCCACAGAAACACUUCUACAGCUAGCAAAAGGCUUUGUACAAUUAGCCCACUCACCUUCAGAGGAUUUAUAUUUUGCUGGCAAAUAUGGUCCACUGUAACUACUUUCUUCAGUCUCCUACACAUACAAGAGAAGGACACAGGAGGAUUUGAUCUUGCAAUCAAAUAUGCAGGGAUUUUAUCCAUAAUAAACUAUGUAUGGCAUGAAUAAAACAUUUGUUUGUAAUUUUCUGCAAACAGACCUUUGUAUUUAUGAAGUUGUUGGUUAUGCAUAACUUUAUUUGUAAGUAUGUUACAGCCUGUCAGGGUUUGUCAAACUAUUGUUUUUCAAUUGAUUUUGUCUACUUUGUGACGUACAUGGUCCAUUAUUGCUUCCUCCAAGGAAAUAAAUAAUUAGUCUUUUUCUUAACUGCCAAUACAUAUGUAGCUUUACCCAGGAUCUGAGACAAGCAAAGGUCUAUUUACAUGAAGGUAUAAUGAAAUAUAAAAAGGAAAAACUGUCUAAGUGUAGUUGAACUGAAUGCAUUUGACUAACUGUCCUUGAAUGAAGCUUUACAGUGUUUACUUAGCUUCAUCCUUUAACUUAUGUGGUUUUUCUACCCUAAGAAAUAACAAAAAGCAUUAUGUUCCUGCAGUAUAAUACAAGGGUCACCAGUUCUGCUCUCAUCUAGGAAUUAUCACUUCCUCCUCUCAACUCAUACUUCAUAACCUUUUCAGACAUUGUGACUCACUAUAAUUCUAAAAGAAGAAUGACAAUAAAAAGAUUAAAUGCUUCUGCUAGCAGUAAUUUGAAGUGAAGCCUGUACUUGAACACUUGCUUGUGUAGAAUCUUCAUGCAAGUCCUCCAAAAACAGACUUCCCAGCCAACACUGGUCAUUUUGUUUCCACCAAUAGGUGUGUACACACUAACACCAUCAGGAUGUUCCAUCCAAAAAUUGUGCUUCUGGCUUAAGCUGUCCCUUCAGGAUGAAAAUAUUAGCUGCCUAUUGCUUAUGCAUCUGCUUGACAACUGUACCCAUGAUGACGGAAUUAUGCCAAUCAAAAUGUUGUGUUUCAUCCUUAAUGCAAAUAGUUGCUUUGAAGUGCUCCAGGUUUAUUGGAUGAACAAAUAAUAUGUUUGUGUAAAAUAUUCAGGGAAAAUGCCCAUAACUCAUCAGCAUAUAAUUGCAGUUUGCCUUUAGAUUCACACAGUAUAUCAACAAAUCUUGUUUUAAACGUACAGAGGCUCUUCCAUUUUAACUGGCUCUCCUGGCAGAAACAGUACUGAUAAAUCAGUUUAUCUUCCAGUAUAUAAUAUUGACUCUUAAUAAAAAUCCAAUAUAAAAAUGAAGUAAAUCUCAACCACUUAGAAUCAAGAAUUGGAGUAAGAUUAGGCUUCUGUUCUCUACAGCUCCUGUAAGAGAUAAUGGAGGGACUAUCUCUCUCUUUUGAUAUGUAGGAAUCAAAGAGAGACUAGUUUCCCAACCUGGGGUUUUAAAUCACAUAUGCAAGGUUCAGCUGUGUGAGAACAAUCAUAUUGCACAUUCACUUUCCCCCUCACUAAAUUAACUGGGUAAGACAUCUCCUUACUACAUUCUGUCACCUUCAUGCACCAAUAGCAUGAUUCAGAUCAGCAGUCAUAAAUCACCCUUUACUCCAUUUGCUUAGGAUCUCCACACCUCAUUAUUUAGCCACAGGGUGAAUAUUAUGACACUUGCUGCCAUUCUUUCAAAGAGGUUUGAGAAAAGUGCUGGAAAAUGUUAUGACCAAAAGAUAACUGCAUAGACAUGGAAGAUUAUGAUCAGGAAAAAAGAGCAUUAAGUUCCAGAACUUACAGGCUUCCUUACCUAAAUUAGUAGCUCAGCACAAACUAAAGGGAGAACAGUAUCUGAUUAUCUUUUUAGGUUGUUUGUCUUCCACUAAAAUGUCAGGAACUGGGCAAACCUAAGAUCCCUAGUGUACAUCAGUUACAAAGUGAUCUUUAUGGUCCCUUCCAAUCCAAAGCAUCCCAUGACUCUGUUAAAAAUGUUGGAAUCUUUUAAUAACUAGAGGAUGUGCCAAAGUGAGGAUGAAGUAUGUGCUCAGCCAAUGUCAAAGAAAACAAGCUCUCCUUCAGGUAGCAAACAUGCUGCGUGUACCAAGUCCAUUUUAAAAAGGUUUUCCUGGUCUUUGUCAAGCCCAUAAAAUAAAAGCAUCGUAUAAUAUAAGGAAAAUGAAUUCAAAAUCUAUUUUUGUUCAGCAUUGUGAGCAAGAGUCAAACAUGGCAAAAAAACAAGAAAGAAAAGGAAUCUUCUUCCCUUUUAACAUUUUAUACUGGAGUAAUUUUACUUGGUUCUUAUUACAUAGUCCCACUACAGAAUUCUCUCAACUAGUUCCCAUUCCUCAAAAAGAUUUAACUUCUCCCCUACCAAGCCUUGUAUUGAAUUUAUCUCCCCCUUCAUGGAUGCAACAGCAGCCUCAGUUUAAAAUAGUGAACUCAGCCGCUGAAUGAUUUUGAUACAAAACUCCCUCCCUGCACCUCAGCCAUCAGACUUUCUCAUUGACUUAACCUGCUCUGACUGAGCUAUAAUCAAAUUGUUCAAAUAAUUUGAAAAGCAAUUAUCAUUAAAUACAUUUUUCCAUUCAUCAUUCUAAACUGAUCUGUUUAGACAUAAACAUAGACACAAACCUCACUGUCUUUACAUGAAGGAAGUGUUGCUUGGCUCUUUGUGUAAUUUCUUCCCCAAAAUAUUUGCUGUCAAAUAGGCUAAUUGUUUUCCUCUACUCACACUGAGACUGUCAAGAAGGUAAGUGCACAGCUAACCUUAAUACACACUCUCCCAGGGAAGAGAGUAAUUUUUCAUCAAAGGAACUAUAGUAUACCCAGGAGACAUUAAUAGUUUUAUAGCCAAGUGACCUACAUGUGAAAAGGUAAAACUAUAAUCAGCACAAGAUAUCUUAUAUACACAUAAGAAGCAUGAUUCCAUAUGGUUUAGUGCAUCCAACUCCCUGUUUUCAGUGUAAUGAGCAAGUCAGGCAUUUAAGAAUCUUUUUAAACCUAAAUUAAAUGUUUUGAUGGAGACGAGUGAAGUGUGAAUUCAAAACUGUUAAUUUUGUUAAUUGGCUAAAGCUUGAAAAGAGCCAUAGACCCCUGUGCAACAGAAGAAACAGAUGGAUUAAAGUGAACAGGAGGUGGCAAAAGAAAUUAAUGACAGCAAGCCAAGUUUGAUUGUAAGUCAGUUUGUAUCUAUAUAUUAAUUUUUAAAAGAGCUCCUCUACUUAUAGCAGCUGAAAUAACUUUUAUGACUUGUUUUCUCAUGUUUAACCUCAAGACCUGGUCCCACAGUUUACUUGGAACUGAGAUACCAUAGACUGCUAGAACUGAUAGAGCAUGAUCUGUGUUUUCUUUGUCUCUUUGUAGUUAUGAGAGUAAGACAAGCUGAUAGUGGCUGCAGAAGUAAGGGCCCCUCUAGGUCAGUGUGCAGAAUACUUAUGUAUCAUUUGCAUCCUGGGAAGGAUGAACACAUCACAUGAAAAUAAACCAAACUGGCUGGUGAAUUUCAAAUGCCACUGUUUAAGUGACUAAACUGGUUGCAAGAACAAUUUUCUUUUUGUGUUUAAACUGAUUCUGUUCCUUCUCCCCUAUUUUCUGAUAAUUUGUUCUGUACUGAAUAACAAAAACCUUGAUAGCUUGGUAAUGCUCAGCAAUGCCCUAGGCUUCCUCAAAUGUUAUCUUUGGACAGCAGAUAGCGACAAAGUCAUUAAUUUGGUCAGAAGAAAAAACAAAAGAGCAGCUAAUACCCUAAGCCAUCACUAACAGCAGUAAUGUCCAUUCCUGUGACUGCAGCAGGAAUCACAGGAUAAAUCAUAUUGGAAUAAACUAUAUUCAGUAGAUUUAUAAUCCCGUGAUCUACUAGACUAAUAAGUACUGCUGGGUGAGUGGAAUAUGAAACUGAAGCCAAAGUUUCAUUUGACAUCUCAUAUGGAAUAUGAUGACCUAUUUUCCUCUGGUAAGGAAAAGGUAAAGUUGAGGGUAAGGUCUCUUCUUUCUUUAUUACUUGAGUUCCAGCUAACUUAAAAAGCUGCAUCACUUUAAAAGGAUAUAUUCAGCCCUGUAUCACUUAUAAAUAAAUCAUGGUCUCCAGAGAAAGAGCAGAAAAGGGAAAAGAUUUCUCCCUUUUCCAGUCACUAUGAGCCUCAAACAGUUUUCAGAUGUGUCAUAUGGCCAAACUGCAGUUUCUUGGAGAAACAGUGGUUUGUAAAGGUCUGUGAAAAUAGACAUAUGUAAAGGGUUGAAAAUAUGGUAGGAAAAUAUUUUAUAGUUAAUGUCUAUGCAAACCUAGUCAAUGGUCUUCCAAACAAGGAGCCGAAGGAACAUCAUAUGGUUUAAUAAUGCUUGCUCUGAAUAAAUGGAAGUUACUCCAAUGUUGGAAACUAGCAAUGAAGUAACUGUAGAGAAUUACCUGUUUAUCAUUACUUAAAACAUUCAUACAACUAACAGUACUUUGAACUCUUACCAAAACACUAGUGGAACUACAAGCAGCCAUCAUGGCAUUCUGGAAUCUUCACUGAAGGAUCAAAGAAUCCUCUGCUGAAAAGGCAAGGGAGAAAAAUGGUGUGUAGUCAGUUCUGUCUCAUUAGCUUCAAAUAUUCGGUCUACAAUUCUCCUUCUCUGGAAGACAAAGUAGGAGUGAUCUUCUCCCUGAGCCUAGUGUGAAUUUAGCUUGUGUGUUUGUGUCUCCAUGGAGACAAUGUAAACACAUCUGUUUUCUUUUUACACUUCUGAUGGAAGCAUUCUACACAAAAUUCAUCAUUGCAUGGAACAAAAACAUUAUCUCGAGGCAGAAACUGAGAUCAUUCCUUACACAAUGAAAAAGGAAACCUGUUUUAGUUCAUUUCCAUCAAUGAUCACUGUCACCAGAAGAACAAAGGAGUUUACAGCCAUAUCUUAAAGCUCAGGGUUUGUGUACCUUGAUACUUGAAUAAUAAAAUAAUGUUAAUAAAACAGUUGAUGUUAAGUUCAUGUUACAAGGGGAGAAAAAGAAAUAUAAAUGCAGGAUACUCAUUGUCAUCAGGGAAAAUGCAAUAUUCUACAAUUCUGAAAUCAACAUUAUAAUGCUGCCACAUCUAUUAUACAUUGUUGCCCUUUGUGUAGUCUCUAAAAAUUAGUAAUUCCCAAGACCUGACAACAAAGCUAUAUUGUCUGUAACUUUAUUUUACGUUUCCCCUAACAUCUAUGCGCUACCAGUUAAUGAAAGAAGAGAAGACAUUGCAUUGCAGUGGUGUCAGUUUUGUUCUUUUUGUUAAAGAUUUCCAAGAACUGGCAAAGGAAAACAAAAGUUUAAGCAGGGUUCAUUGUUUCAAUAGCUGAAUGUCUAUUCAGUGCCUAAAGCACGUUAAGCUGGUUUUUUACCAGUCACAAGAACGUCCCAUGCUCCUGGUUAAUCCACUAACAUAAUGGAACAUACCCCUUGCAAACACCAGUCUCCAAAAGGAGAAAAUACAAAAAAAAAAAAAAAAAGU
This 5669-nucleotide long non-coding RNA is filed under the name Taeniopygia guttata (zebra finch). RNAcentral's name for it is "lncRNA (ENSTGUG00000019901.1)". Lineage: Eukaryota; Metazoa; Chordata; Aves; Passeriformes; Estrildidae. The record is from RNAcentral.